This 518-nucleotide long non-coding RNA is filed under the name Mytilus galloprovincialis (Mediterranean mussel). The record is from RNAcentral. Lineage: Eukaryota; Metazoa; Mollusca; Bivalvia; Mytilida; Mytilidae.
CUCCCUUUUCAAUGCAAAUCUCCAUAGCCCCACAGGACGCAAUUACGACUGGACACAAUUACGAACGAUUUCCAAUGUUUGCCCUCUAAGAUCAUAUUUGUUUAUAUUUAUCAAUAAAUGUUUUUAUAAAUAAAAACCCUAUUAAAAAUCCCGUUUUCAUGAUAAUGCAAUUUAUGUGCACUUGGUGAAUGUUGAUGACGAUGACAAAAUCAUUCUGAAAAUAUUAUAAGAACGGCAAUCUGACCUGGAAGUUAUAUAAAAAAAAUACAUAAAGGUAAGUGCAUAUUGCCUUCUUUUGUUAAUAUAUAGAAAGAAAAAUAUCUCCUGAUUCUGUUCAUAUGCGUGAUGCCUUUUAUCAUGCCCAAAUAACCCCUCAAUUGACGUUUUUUAGACUCUUGUGAACCUAUUUAUGGCCAAAAGAAAAUAUGUUAAUUUUAUUGAAAAGUCCAGAGAACUCCGAAAGAAAUGUUGACCAAUAUAAAAAAAAAAUCAUAGAUGAAUGAUAAGUACACCACCGA